RNAcentral lists this ribosomal RNA (1404 nucleotides) under Klebsiella pneumoniae. RNAcentral's name for it is "bacterial SSU rRNA". It matches the Rfam family "Bacterial small subunit ribosomal RNA". The record is from RNAcentral. Lineage: Bacteria; Pseudomonadati; Pseudomonadota; Gammaproteobacteria; Enterobacterales; Enterobacteriaceae.
AACGCUGGCGGCAGGCCUAACACAUGCAAGUCGAGCGGUAGCACAGAGAGCUUGCUCUCGGGUGACGAGCGGCGGACGGGUGAGUAAUGUCUGGGAAACUGCCUGAUGGAGGGGGAUAACUACUGGAAACGGUAGCUAAUACCGCAUAACGUCGCAAGACCAAAGUGGGGGACCUUCGGGCCUCAUGCCAUCAGAUGUGCCCAGAUGGGAUUAGCUAGUAGGUGGGGUAACGGCUCACCUAGGCGACGAUCCCUAGCUGGUCUGAGAGGAUGACCAGCCACACUGGAACUGAGACACGGUCCAGACUCCUACGGGAGGCAGCAGUGGGGAAUAUUGCACAAUGGGCGCAAGCCUGAUGCAGCCAUGCCGCGUGUGUGAAGAAGGCCUUCGGGUUGUAAAGCACUUUCAGCGGGGAGGAAGGCGAUAAGGUUAAUAACCUUGUCGAUUGACGUUACCCGCAGAAGAAGCACCGGCUAACUCCGUGCCAGCAGCCGCGGUAAUACGGAGGGUGCAAGCGUUAAUCGGAAUUACUGGGCGUAAAGCGCACGCAGGCGGUCUGUCAAGUCGGAUGUGAAAUCCCCGGGCUCAACCUGGGAACUGCAUUCGAAACUGGCAGGCUAGAGUCUUGUAGAGGGGGGUAGAAUUCCAGGUGUAGCGGUGAAAUGCGUAGAGAUCUGGAGGAAUACCGGUGGCGAAGGCGGCCCCCUGGACAAAGACUGACGCUCAGGUGCGAAAGCGUGGGGAGCAAACAGGAUUAGAUACCCUGGUAGUCCACGCCGUAAACGAUGUCGAUUUGGAGGUUGUGCCCUUGAGGCGUGGCUUCCGGAGCUAACGCGUUAAAUCGACCGCCUGGGGAGUACGGCCGCAAGGUUAAAACUCAAAUGAAUUGACGGGGGCCCGCACAAGCGGUGGAGCAUGUGGUUUAAUUCGAUGCAACGCGAAGAACCUUACCUGGUCUUGACAUCCACAGAACUUACCAGAGAUGCUUUGGUGCCUUCGGGAACUGUGAGACAGGUGCUGCAUGGCUGUCGUCAGCUCGUGUUGUGAAAUGUUGGGUUAAGUCCCGCAACGAGCGCAACCCUUAUCCUUUGUUGCCAGCGGUUAGGCCGGGAACUCAAAGGAGACUGCCAGUGAUAAACUGGAGGAAGGUGGGGAUGACGUCAAGUCAUCAUGGCCCUUACGACCAGGGCUACACACGUGCUACAAUGGCAUAUACAAAGAGAAGCGACCUCGCGAGAGCAAGCGGACCUCAUAAAGUAUGUCGUAGUCCGGAUUGGAGUCUGCAACUCGACUCCAUGAAGUCGGAAUCGCUAGUAAUCGUAGAUCAGAAUGCUACGGUGAAUACGUUCCCGGGCCUUGUACACACCGCCCGUCACACCAUGGGAGUGGGUUGCAAAAGAAGUA